RNAcentral lists this ribosomal RNA (875 nucleotides) under Bacillus sp. DCR_ME06-04. RNAcentral's name for it is "bacterial SSU rRNA". It matches the Rfam family "Bacterial small subunit ribosomal RNA", at positions 471 to 1346 of the family's 1533-position model. The record is from RNAcentral. Lineage: Bacteria; Bacillati; Bacillota; Bacilli; Caryophanales; Bacillaceae.
GACGGUACCUAACCAGAAAGCCACGGCUAACUACGUGCCAGCAGCCGCGGUAAUACGUAGGUGGCAAGCGUUGUCCGGAAUUAUUGGGCGUAAAGCGCGCGCAGGCGGUCUUUUAAGUCUGAUGUGAAAGCCCACGGCUCAACCGUGGAGGGUCAUUGGAAACUGGAGGACUUGAGUGCAGAAGAGGAGAGUGGAAUUCCACGUGUAGCGGUGAAAUGCGUAGAUAUGUGGAGGAACACCAGUGGCGAAGGCGGCUCUCUGGUCUGUAACUGACGCUGAGGCGCGAAAGCGUGGGGAGCAAACAGGAUUAGAUACCCUGGUAGUCCACGCCGUAAACGAUGAGUGCUAGGUGUUGGGGGGUUCCACCCUCAGUGCUGAAGUUAACACAUUAAGCACUCCGCCUGGGGAGUACGACCGCAAGGUUGAAACUCAAAGGAAUUGACGGGGGCCCGCACAAGCAGUGGAGCAUGUGGUUUAAUUCGAAGCAACGCGAAGAACCUUACCAGGUCUUGACAUCCUCUGACAAUCCUGGAGACAGGACGUUCCCCUUCGGGGGACAGAGUGACAGGUGGUGCAUGGUUGUCGUCAGCUCGUGUCGUGAGAUGUUGGGUUAAGUCCCGCAACGAGCGCAACCCUUGAUCUUAGUUGCCAGCAUUUAGUUGGGCACUCUAAGGUGACUGCCGGUGACAAACCGGAGGAAGGUGGGGAUGACGUCAAAUCAUCAUGCCCCUUAUGACCUGGGCUACACACGUGCUACAAUGGACGGUACAAAGGGCAGCGACACCGCGAGGUGAAGCGAAUCCCAUAAAGCCGUUCUCAGUUCGGAUUGCAGGCUGCAACUCGCCUGCAUGAAGCCGGAAUUGCUAGUAAUCGCG